CACUUUGUGGUUCAUGACUGGGGUGAAGUCGUAACAAGGUAGCGCUAGGGGAACCUGGCGCUGGAUCACCUCCUUACACGAAGAU
This 85-nucleotide ribosomal RNA is filed under the name Vibrio cholerae. Its description in RNAcentral is "partial 16S ribosomal RNA". The stretch from base 1 to 76 matches the Rfam family "Bacterial small subunit ribosomal RNA", at positions 1458 to 1533 of the family's 1533-position model. The record is from RNAcentral. Lineage: Bacteria; Pseudomonadati; Pseudomonadota; Gammaproteobacteria; Vibrionales; Vibrionaceae.